This 821-nucleotide long non-coding RNA is filed under the name Cricetulus griseus (Chinese hamster). RNAcentral describes it as "lncRNA (ENSCGRG00015038726.1)". The record is from RNAcentral. Lineage: Eukaryota; Metazoa; Chordata; Mammalia; Rodentia; Cricetidae.
AUGCCUGGCUUAAUCCCCUUAACAGCAGACGCACAGUAGCCACAGAAGAGGUACCACAUGCCCACAUUCAGCCGUCAAUCUUUAGUUAGCAUAUCAGUCACACAAGGUUCUAGGGUGGAUCAUAUGAGGUCUUUUUUGGCUUUGAAACUUCCACCAUCUGCAGAGGCAAGAGAACCCAAGUUCAAAGUCAGUCUGAUCUACAUAGCAAGUUCCCAGCCAGUGAAACAACAGCAACAAAACCAAAACUUCAUCACCUUAUUUGGUCUUAGCAUACCGGAAACCACUCUGAUCUCUGGCGGGUUCCCUGUUACUUUGAAGCAUUCUGUGCCUCUCGCAUGUCUUAACGUCUGGGUAGGAAGACCUCAGAAGAGAUCUGUGAGUUUGUGCUUGCUUGUGGUGGCUGUUUGCUGUGCGGUGAAAACAAGGCACCCCAGACUUCAGAAGCAAAAUGAAAUAAACUUCUUGGUUCAUGCGCAAACUGUGCAGAAUGGGCUUUGUGUGGGAGCCGGCAAAGGUGGAAGUGCCAUUCAAAAGUUGCCAGAGCCCAAGAAUAGACUUGCCUUGGUGAGGCUUCUGGACUGCCUCCAGUUCCUAGCAAGAGCCAUGCCCGGCCUUCCUGAAGUGCACCAUUGAGAAAACGCCUUGAGAAUAGGUUGACUGACACGGGGAGCAACAUGGAGAGAAUGGCUUUAAUGAGCCAAAAAAUGUGGUUUCAAAUGCCCGUCUCCCAGUGUCACUGCUGGCCUUUGCCAGCAGAGGCAAAGUCUUGUUCACUGGCGCAAACUCCGAGAAACACCGAGCAAGCCUGCACCAACUCCAAG